CCUACGGGCGGCAGCAGUAGGGAAUAUUGCUCAAUGGGGGAAACCCUGAAGCAGCAACGCCGCGUGGAGGAUGAAGGUUUUCGGAUUGUAAACCCCUUUUGUUAGAGAAGAUAAUGACGGUAUCUAACGAAUAAGCACCGGCUAACUACGUGCCAGCAGCCGCGGUAAUACGGAGGGUGCAAGCGUUACUCGGAAUCACUGGGCGUAAAGAGCGCGUAGGCGGGAUAGCAAGUCAGAUGUGAAAUCCUAUGGCUUAACCAUAGAACUGCAUUUGAAACUGUAAUGCUAGAGUAUGGGAGAGGUAGGUGGAAUUCUUGGUGUAGCGGUAAAAUGCGUAGAUAUCAAGAGGAAUACUCAUUGCGAAGGCGACCUGCUAGACCAUAACUGACGCUGAUGCGCGAAAGCGUGGGGAGCAAACAGGAUUAGAUACCCGGGUAGUC
RNAcentral lists this ribosomal RNA (440 nucleotides) under uncultured bacterium. RNAcentral describes it as "partial 16S ribosomal RNA". It matches the Rfam family "Bacterial small subunit ribosomal RNA", at positions 338 to 795 of the family's 1533-position model. The record is from RNAcentral.